Long non-coding RNA from Dama dama (fallow deer), 8041 nucleotides. RefSeq lists it as uncharacterized. The record is from RefSeq and is a predicted model, not a curated record. The transcript is spliced from 3 exons. NCBI's taxonomy places the organism in Eukaryota, Metazoa, Chordata, Mammalia, Artiodactyla, Cervidae.
AUUCAGAGUAUUCAGUAUUCAUUUCCUUUAGGAUUGCCGGGUUGUGCUCCUUACUGUCUGAAGGAUUCUAAAGGGUCAUCUCUCUAGCACCACAAUUAGAAUGCAUCACUCAGCCUUCCUAAUGAUCCAACUCAUACAUCUGUACACGGCUACUGGAAAAACCAUGGUUUUGACUCUGCAGAAUUUUGUCAGCAAAGUGAUGUCUCUUCUUUUUAAUAUGCGGUCGAUGUUCAUCAUGGGUUUCCCUGGGGGCUCAGCGGUUGAGAAUCUGUCUGCAGUGCAGGGGAAUUAGGACACCUGGGUUCAAUCCCUGGGUCGGGAAGGUUCCCUGGAGGAGGGCAUGGCAACCCACUCCAGUAUUCUCGCCUGGAGAAUCCCCUGGACAGAGGAGCCUGGCGGGCCUUGGUCCAUGGGGUCGUAAAGAGUAUGCUGAGAGUCAUCACCUCCAAAACAGAAUCUCUGGCCAAUGGGCUGUCUCUCUAGCUUUACUCAUCUCAAGUAAAAUCUGUUCCCUGGGCUCAGAAGCCACGUGAGAUAACAAAGGAAAGUUGACGCAGUUGUGCUUUAAGCAACAAUUUGGAGCGAGAUCUUAAUUUGUUUGGGCCAAGUGACUGCAGGGAAUGAAAUGGGGUAGGGUGAUGAAGGAAAUGAGAUGAUGAAUUUAUUGCCCCGGCCACCUCCCUGCCCCCAGGUAGCCGACUUCAGUAGGGCUGGCUGGUAUCAACGGCGAGUUUAUAGGCUCACUUGUAACAACAUCCUUUGUGUGGUAUGAGCAACUUGGUGGGCAAAUCAGACAGCAUGGCCAAAUAUUCAUUUCUCAGAGUGGAUUGAGGGAGACAAGAGGAAAGAAUGAUGAACCAUGGGUUAGUUGUGAGUCAGUUUCUAAAAUCUCAGUAUUUCUUCACGAGGGGUGUGUGUGUGAAUUCUUUUCUUUAUCUGAGAAUUGGCUUUCUAGGUGAGGAAAUAUCAUGAGAGACUCCUUGUGACAUGUGACAAGAGGUUGGGAGUGAAUGGGGUUAAGGUCAUUUUCCAAAUGUUUCACACAAAGCGUUUGUUUAAGAGGAGAGCAGUGGCAUUAAAAAACUGAACUAAGUGGUUGGAAUAAAGGUUUCAGUUUUUGAAAUGUGAAGAGACUCUGGGAUGUGUGUUCAUCCUAGCCUGUGGUCACAGGCCACUCAUAAACUCAUAGGAUUUGAACCGUGUCUUUCUAAUGUCUUUUGCUUUCUGCCUUUGUAUGUGGUGGAGUCCCCAGUUCCAGUGACUAAAGUUCCUAAGUAACAGUUCUCUGAGAAAAGAAGCUCUCUAGAAAAGAGCAGUGCCUGGGAACCUGAUCUAAAAUUUUAAUAUAGCCUGUGAUGUAAUUUUUGUUAGCUUCACCCAAGAUAUGAUCAUUCAAAGAAUCUAGAGAGAUGCACCUACUUCGGUAUCUACUAUUGGAUUUUUCAAAUGAACAUACAAUAAGAUUGGCCUGGUUUUCUUUCUUAUUAUUUAUCUAUUUAUUGGUGGCUGCACUGAGUCUUUGUUGCUGCACAGGCUUUCUCUAGUUGUGGAGAAGAAGGACUACUCUCUGGUGGUAGUGCAUGUGCUUCUCAUUUUAGAGACUUCUCUUGUUGCAGAGCAUGGACUCUAGGCUCAAGGGCUUCAGUAGUCGAAGCCGGUUGGUUCAGUAGUGACACACAGUCUUAGUUGGCUUGCGGCAUGUGGAAUCUUCCUGGACUAGGGACUGAAUGCCUUCCCUGUUGGCAUUGGCAUGUGGGUUCUGUUUUAUUUUUUUAAUCAUUAAUUUAGUUUAAUCGGAGGACAAUUACUAUACCAUAUUGUGAUGGUUUCUGCAAUAUAUCAACAUGAAUCGGCCACAGGUAUACAUGUGUCCUCCCCUCCUGAACCCCCGUCCCACCUCCCUCCCCACCCUAUCCCUCUGGGUUGUCCCAGAGCACUGGCUUUGGGUGCCCUGCUUCAUGCAAUGAACUUGCACUGGUCAUCUGUUUUACAUAUGGGAAUGUGUAUGUUUCACUAUUAUUCUCUCAAAUGGUCCCACCCUCGCCUUCUUUCACCGAGUCGAAAAGUAUGUUCUGUACGUCUCUGUCUCCUUUGCUUCCCUGCAUGUAGAAUCGUUGCUACCGUCUUUCUAAAUUGCAUAAAUAUGCAUUAAUAGAAGUGUUUGUCUCUCUCUUUCUGACUUACUUCUCUCUGUAUAACAGGCUCCAGGUUCAUCCACCUCAUUAGCACUGAUUCAAAUGUGUUCUUUUUUUUUUUUUUUUCUUUUUUUGUGACCCCAUGGACUAUAGCCCUCCAUGCUCCUCUGUCCAUGAGAUUAUCCAGGCAAGAAUACUGGAGUGGGUUGCCAUUUCCUUCUCCAAAAUGUGUUCCUUUUUAUAGCUGAGUAAUAUUCCAUUGUGUAUAUGCACCACAACUUCCUCAUCCAUUCAUCUGCCAAUGGACAUCUAGGUUCCCUCCAUGUCCUAGCUGUUGUAAAUAGUGCUGCUGUGAACAUUGGGGUACAUGUGUCUGUUCACUUCUGGUUUCCUCGAGGUGUAUGCCCAGCAGUGGGAUUGCUGGGUCGUGUGGCAGUUCUGUUCCCAGUGUUUUAAGGAAUCACCACUCUCUUCUCCAUAGUGGCUGUACCAGUUUGCGUUCCCACCAACAGUGGAAGAAGGUUCCCUUUUCUCCACACCAUCUCCAGCAUUUAUUGUUUGUAGACUUUUUGAUGAUGGCCAUUCUGACCUGUGUGAGAUGAUACCUCACUGUGGUUUUGAUUUGCAGUUUUCUAAUAAUGAGUGAUGUUGAGCAUCUCUUCAUGUGUUUGGUAGCCACCUCUAUGUCUUUGGAGAAAUGUCUGUUUAGAUCUCCUGUCCCCUUGUUGUGGGGUUGUUUGUUUUUCUGGUAUUGAGCUGCAUGGGCUGCUUGUAUAUUUUGGAGAUUCCUUCUUUGUCAGUUGUUUCAUUUGCUGUUAUUUUCUCCAAUUCUGAGGGCCGUCUUUUCACCUCGCUUACAGUUUCCUUCAUUGUGCACAAGCAUUUAAGUUAAAUUUGGUCUCUUUUGUUUAUUUGUGUUUUUAUCUCCAUUACUCUGGGAGGUGGGCCAUAGAGGAUCUUGCUGUGAUUUAUGUCAGAGAGUGUUCUGCGUACGGUUUCCUCUUAAGAGUUUUAUAGUUUUUGGUCUCACGUUUAGAUCUUUAAUCCAUUUUGAGUUUCUUUUGUUGUGUGGUGUUAGAAAGUGCUCCAGGUUCAUUCUUUUACACGUAGUUGAGCAUUUCACCCAGCAUCACGUGUUGAAGAGACUUUGUGUACGCCAUUGUAUAUUUGUGCCUCGUUUGUCAAAGAUAACCUGUGCAUAGGUAUGUGGAUUUAUCUCCGGGUUCUCUAUUUUGUUCCAUUGAUCUAUAUUUCUGUCUUUCUGCCAUACUGUCUUCAUGACUGUAGCUUUGUAGUAUAGUCUGUAGUAUAGUCUGAAGUCAGGAAGGUUGAUUCCUCUAGUUCCAUUCUUCUUUCUUAAGAUUGCUUUGGGUAUUCAGAGUCUUUAGUGUUUCCAUACAAACUGAGAAAUUAUUUGUUCUAGUUGUGUGAAAAAUACCUUUGGUAGUUUGAUCUGGAUUGUGAUGAAUCUACAGAUUGCUUUGGGUAGUAGAGUCAUUUUCACUAUACUGAUUCUUCCAAUCCAAGAACAUGGUACACUUCUCCAUCUCUUUGUGUCAUCUUUGAUCGCUUUCAUCAGUUUUUUUAUAGUUUUCUGUACACAGGUCUCUUGUUCCUUUACGUACAUUUAUUCCUAAGUAUUUUAUUCUUUUCAUUGCAAUAGUGAAUGGGAUAGUUUUCUUAAUUACUCUUUCUGAUUUUUUGUUAUUAGUUUAUAGGAAUGCAAGGGAUUUCUGUGCAUUCAUUUUAUAUGGCAGGCACAUACUUUUUAAAAUGUUUUUAAUUUAUUUAUAUUAGUUGGAGACUACGUUACAAUAUUGCAGGCACAUUCUUAACCACUGGACCACGUGGGAAUUCCUGGCCUGCUUGUCCUUGGGUGUGCAGCUCUCUGGUCUCUGACACAUGGAGAGUUUCCAGUCAGCUGGAGAGUGGUAAACAAAGUAUUCUGUAUGUCGCCAUACGGUGGAAUAGCAUAAAUGGAUGAAAAGUGAUGAACUUCUGCUUUCUGCUACCACAUGGGUGAGCCUCCAAAGCAUUAAGCUAAGUGAAACAUCCCAGACACAAAAGGCCACUUCCUGCAGGAGUCCGUUGAUAUGAAAUGCCCCGAAAGGGCAAAUCUACAGAGAGCGAAAUCAGACGAGAGGAUGCCUGGGCUUGCAGGUCCUGUUGGGGAUCCACUGCUGAUGGGUACACAGAACCUUUAGUGGCGCUGGCGGUGUUCCACACCUGCACUGUGGUGGGGGUUGCACCACUGUGUGAAGGUGUUAAAAGUCAUUGCCCUGGGAGUGAUGGGUGUGAUUUGUGGUACAUAAUUAUACCUCAGGAAAGCAGUUUAGGAAGGUAAUGCAGAUGUCCAAGUGAGACAUGUGGGGAAAGACAUGCCAUUGCUUUGUAACAACGAGGAGUGCCCCUGCUCCUUCCACGUUCUGGGUCCGGCCUCCUCUACGUGUGCUAGAUGCUCCCUCCAGAAACAGUCACUGUGCACAUCAGGAUAGAAUCCCCAGGGAGCACACACGUCUAAUGUGUCUCUGUGUUGACUCAAGGGGCCCGUUGUGUGACCACAAGUCAGUGGCUCUGGACAGGCUCCCAGAACCCACCCUGCAUCUGAAAUUCCACUUCAUUGUUUUCCCAUUCUUCUCCAAUCACGUGGACCCAGCUUCCGUUUCCCUGGUAACAGAUCUCAGCCCUUAGCUCCAACCUCUGGUCACAGGAAUACCUGUAGCCUGGUGUGAGGCCCCCUGCCUGAGCUCAGCAACCCAGGAGGGAUGCUCAGCAGAGCAGUAACCAAGACAAUGGAACUUGAUCUAUCCUCCUUCUGCCACCAGGACUGAGGGGCAUUCCCUCCCCUCCAUCCACCUGAGUGUCUGGGUAUGCUAUUUUCUGUUCUCCAAACCAAAGAGACCAGGAUGCCAGUUCCAAAAGAAUCAUCAGGACUGUUGACUAGAAGACAGAAUGGAGAAUUGGAAUGAUCUUCACAGGUGAUGCAGAGCCCUGCCUUGGAUCUCACCUGCAGCAAAGCAAGCACCAAGAUCAGCUCCAGAGAACGAAAUUCCUAAACGACAGCCACCCAUCUGCCCAAAGACAGCAUUGUGUCAUUGAGCAGUGUGCCCCCUGUGAGUCCCAAGUGGGAAUGGGGUGGAAUCCUCCUUUCCCUGGUCUUCCUCUUCAUUUCUUGUCACACCUCCCUUGUCUCAGCCCUCUCACCUCUGCCUGCCGCUACCUCUGUGGGCGGUUCCCCACUGUGACUGGGAUGCUGUUUUCUUUGGCUUGUCUUUCAUUUGACCCAAGACUUCCCAUACAAUAUCCUGGUCAAAGGGGGCAUAGGGUAGAAUGUGUCCCUUGUCAAGUACAGUUAGGAUACUUUGGUGUCACAGAAGCCCCAAGCCCCUGAAAUAUAAAAACACAGGGAUAAAAAACACAAGAAUCAAAUAUGCCAAAGGUGCCAGAGAUGUUGGCUAAGAUGAGCACUGAAGAGUAUCUGCGGUAUCAGGAAGUAUCUAUUUUAAUGAUGGUCUUGACAAGGCCAGUUACAGUGGAAUGACUGGGACAAAAGCUUCAUGGAAGGGGGCUGAGUAAAGAAUACCUCAGCAGAAUUUGAAGCAGUUUUGUUCUGAAGGGCAACUGGUGAUGUGCCAGUAGCUGCAGAAGACGGUGGUAGAACAGGAUGGGUUUCCCCCUUUUUUGUGGAAUGAUGCAAUAUAGCGGGAGCAGGUGUUGGUUCAGGCGAGAGGGGUGAUAACUGCAGGUUGAAAGUCCCUGGGAAGGUGCAAGGCAUGGGAUUCUGGGAGAGGUGAGGGGCUGGGUGCAGUCAGUAGGACUCGGGCAGACGGGCAACAGACUGCCAGGGCAGAAACAUGCACUUUGGGAUUGGGAAACUUGAGAAAUCCCACUGAGUUGCUGCUUGCUACUCCGCGAAUUAUUGGCGGGUGGGGCUGGUGGUCAUUAGGAUGGAGAAAGGUUACUACUGUGUAGUGUAGUAGUGUAGGCAGGUGAGAGUGAAAACGAACAGCAGUUUUACUCUGGUCACGGGUUUAAGAAAAAACACUUCUGUAAAGUUUGCUCCUCAACGCUCAGGUGCUCAGACACAGGCAGGGAGUGCAUAGUCAGGAGUGUGCAAGGAGCCGAUCUGAUCGGGGAGGUGCCUGCCGGAUGGUAAUGGAAGGACUUGUUGUAGUGGAGGUGAGGGUUUCCAGGAUGUACUGGUAUCUGUGCACUGGCACUAGAGCUAGGGAGCUGGAGGACAGGACAUCAUGUUGAGGGUGAUGAGAGGGAGGAAGGCUAGAAACAGGACACCAUGAGGGGCGCGGUCUUUCCUGGGGGCCGAGGCCGGGGGCAGGGGGAUGCUCGGGUGGGGAGGAGGGGAACAUCGACGAGGACGGAGAGACUCCCGAGUGACCGGGUGAGCCUCGUGGGCACUGAGGACAGAUCAGAAUAGUGAGAGCGGAGGGAACGGUGAGUAUACGACGGGAGGAACGCGUUCACAGGCCUGGGGUGGACGGAAGGAGAAAUACAGGGGACUUGUACGGGCUCCGCACUUGUGGGCCUUUGGCAGUGGGCGACAGGACUGCGACAUGCACCAUCAGGUUCCUCAAUGAAGACUUUGAAACAGGGUCCAGGAGAAAACUCUCAACUGACCCCUGCCAGGAGACUGGCGCGGGCGUCACUGGGUUGCUCCGCGCAGGCCCAGAAACAGCCAAUCGCGGCACAGCACCGCCCACCAAGCUCCGGAUGUGUGAGACUCUGCCUUUCUGCUCGAGUUUCCUUGGUUUCGCGAGCCGCUGGAGUCCGCGGUCCACGGGUGGUUUAACCGGGCCACUUCGAGAGGUUGCCUUCCUUUCUCUGGUCCUCAUGGGAUUCCCCCUUAACUUCCGCAUCCAGAGUGUCCAAUCCUCUCCACGAAAACCCAAGUAAAACGGCUUUUCUUCUGGGCUUCUGGCGUUUUGGUUUCUGUGGUCAGCAGGUGGCAGUGUUGCUCCAAGUGUCACCAUCCCGUUUCUCCUCCGCCCUUUGCCUUUUAAAAAAACGAAAGGAAACCUUUUUACCAUUAGAAGCGGCAGAUAGUUUUCUCUGCUGGGGCAGCUUGGCUGGUUCAAACUGCAACUGAGCCCUUCAGAGAGCCCUUUGUGAAAACUUUGAACAAACCCUUUGACACUGAAAAUUACAAUAAAAAAAUAUAAGCUGAUGUAUUUAAUAAUGGUGGAAAGAGUGAGUUCCCUUGUCUUGCUUCUGAUCCUAGAGGAAAUAUUGUAUUUAAAUAGAAUUUUAUGAUGACAGUGAUUUUUGACUUGAAAAUGUGUAAGUGACGUGGAAAUGAAAGUUGCUCGGUCCUGUCAGGUUCUUGAAGACCCCUUGGACAAUAGAAGGGGAAAGACUAGAGAUCUCUUCAAGAAAAUUAGAGAUACCAAGGGAACAUUUCAUGCAAAUAUGGAAUCAAUAAAGGGCAGAAAUGCUAGGGACCUAACAGUAGCAGAAGAUAAGAAGAGGUGGCAAGAAUACUCAGAAGAACUGUACAAAAAAGAUCUUCACGACCUAGAUAAUCACGAUGGUGUGAUCACUCACCUAGAGCCAGAAAUCGUGGAAUGUGAAGUCAAGUGGGCCUUAGGAAGCAUCACUAUGAACAAAGCUAGUGGAGGUGAUCGAAUAGGUUGAGCUAUUCCAAAUCCUGAAAGACGAUGCUGUGAAAGUGCUCCACUCAAUACGCCAGCAAAUUUGGAAAACUUACCAGUGACCACAGAGCUGGAAAAGGUCAGUUUUCAUUCCAAUCCCAAAGAAAGGAAACCCCAAAGAACGCUCAAACUACCGCACAAUUGCACUCAUCUCACACGCUAGUAAAGUGAUGCUUAAAAUUCCCCAAGCCCGGCUUCAGCAAUACAUGAACUGCAAACUUCCAGAUGUUCAAGCUGGUU